AACGAACGCUGGCGGCAUGCCUAAUACAUGCGAGUCGAACGAGAUCUUCGGAUCUAGUGGCGCACGGGUGCGUAACGCGUGGGAAUCUGCCCUUGGGUUCGGAAUAACUUCUGGAAACGGAAGCUAAUACCGGAUGAUGACGUAAGUCCAAAGAUUUAUCGCCCAAGGAUGAGCCCGCGUAGGAUUAGCUAGUUGGUGGGGUAAAGGCCCACCAAGGCGACGAUCCUUAGCUGGUCUGAGAGGAUGAUCAGCCACACUGGGACUGAGACACGGCCCAGACUCCUACGGGAGGCAGCAGUAGGGAAUAUUGGACAAUGGGCGAAAGCCUGAUCCAGCAAUGCCGCGUGAGUGAUGAAGGCCUUAGGGUUGUAAAGCUCUUUUACCCGGGAUGAUAAUGACAGUACCGGGAGAAUAAGCGCCGGCUAACUCCGUG
Molecule: ribosomal RNA, 433 nt
Filed under: uncultured bacterium
Lineage: Bacteria
Description: partial 16S ribosomal RNA
Rfam family: Bacterial small subunit ribosomal RNA
Source: RNAcentral